CCUACGGGACGCAGCAGUGGGGGAUAUUGCACAAUGGGGGGAACCCUGAUGCAGCGACGCCGCGUGGGUGAAGAAGCGCCUCGGCGCGUAAAGCCCUGUCAGCAGGGAAGAAAAUGACGGUACCUGAAGAAGAAGCCCCGGCUAACUACGUGCCAGCAGCCGCGGUAAUACGUAGGGGGCAAGCGUUAUCCGGAUUUACUGGGUGUAAAGGUGGCGCAGACGGCGAUGCAAGCCAGGAGUGAAAGCCCGGGGCCCAACCCCGGGACUGCUCUUGGAACCGCGUGGCUAGAGUGCAGGAGGGGCAG
This 305-nucleotide ribosomal RNA is filed under the name uncultured bacterium. RNAcentral describes it as "bacterial SSU rRNA". It matches the Rfam family "Bacterial small subunit ribosomal RNA", at positions 338 to 660 of the family's 1533-position model. The record is from RNAcentral.